This 658-nucleotide ribosomal RNA is filed under the name Agaricus sp. GAL18862. RNAcentral describes it as "eukaryotic LSU rRNA". It matches the Rfam family "Eukaryotic large subunit ribosomal RNA", at positions 1 to 638 of the family's 3401-position model. The record is from RNAcentral. RNAcentral also lists the same sequence under 2 other names. Lineage: Eukaryota; Fungi; Basidiomycota; Agaricomycetes; Agaricales; Agaricaceae.
AUACUUGACCUCAAAUCAGGUAGGACUACCCGCUGAACUUAAGCAUAUCAAUAAGCGGAGGAAAAGAAACUAACAAGGAUUCCCCUAGUAACUGCGAGUGAAGCGGGAAAAGCUCAAAUUUAAAAUCUGGCGGUCUCUGGCCGUCCGAGUUGUAAUCUAGAGAAGUAAUGCCCGUGCUGGACCGUGUAUAAGUCUCCUGGGAUGGGGCGUCAUAGAGGGUGAGAAUCCCGUCUUUGACACGGACUACCAGUGCAUUGUGGUAUGCUCUCAAAGAGUCGAGUUGUUUGGGAAUGCAGCUCAAAAUGGGUGGUAAAUUCCAUCUAAAGCUAAAUAUUGGCGAGAGACCGAUAGCGAACAAGUACCGUGAGGGAAAGAUGAAAAGAACUUUGGAAAGAGAGUUAAACAGUACGUGAAAUUGCUGAAAGGGAAACGCUUGAAGUCAGUCGCGUUGGCCGGGGAUCAGCCUUGCUUUUGCAUGGUGUACUUUCUGGUUGACGGGUCAGCAUCAAUUUUGACCGCUGGAAAAAGACCUGGGGAAUGUGGCAGCUUCGGCUGUGUUAUAGCCCCUAGUCGCAUACAGUGGUUGGGAUUGAGGAACUCAGCACGCCGCAAGGCCGGGUUUCGACCACGUUCGUGCUUAGGAUGCUGGCAUAAUGGC